RNAcentral lists this long non-coding RNA (1492 nucleotides) under Anas platyrhynchos platyrhynchos (common mallard). Its description in RNAcentral is "lncRNA (ENSAPLG00000020998.1)". The record is from RNAcentral. Lineage: Eukaryota; Metazoa; Chordata; Aves; Anseriformes; Anatidae.
AUGCUUUUUUCUUCCCCCUUCAGCUCCCUCGCCUGUAGGCAGAAGAUUUGCCUGCUGACAGACACACUGGAGGCUUGCACAGAGCCGGGCUCCCUGCGCUGGGAGAGCGCAGCUGUGCCUGGCUGCUUUGUUAGCAGCCGUUUGCCCCGGGGCGGGGAAGAGCUUCCCGAUUUUUCUUUUCGGUUGUCUUGGACCGGGGAACGAAAUCAUCAUCGGUGUGGCGCUGGCGGUGGUGAGCACGGGGCUGCGGGGGCUCCUGGGGCCGUCCUUCCUGCACACAACGCCGGCGGUCGCGGUGCCCAGCGGGUCCCCGGCACGGCUCGAGCCCCUGGUGCCGAUCCUUUUCCUCCUUCUCCCCUUGGGCACUGCGGCGAGGCAGGGGCUGUCCUGAGGAGACGUGUUCCUGCGGCUUGGUUGCUCCUGCUCCCACCAGACAUCCCCGCCUGCCACCGAAAUGCCCCCGUUCUCCUUUUGCCAAAAAGAAGCCGUAAGACCAAGCUGAGCCUAAAGGUCGCUGGACAGAAAGCUGCAGAGACCGCUCCUGGGGAAGUCCCGGACGCUGCCCAGCAUCCCGCAGUCCCCGGUCCUGAGCAGGCUUCCCCUCCUUGACUCCACGGCAUAUAGGGAGGAGAUGCCGGAGCAGAAGUCCUACAAGAAGCACUCGGCCUCUGAUGGCCAGAAGGGCUGCACGGUCCCAUCUGCCGGUGAGUGCCAGGGAGAGCUUUGUGCCCGUUCUGCCUGGGGGCCAGCAAAAUCUUACCCAACGUGUCCUUGUUCUGCAGGGGUGCGAACAGCAAGGUAAAUCCAAUCCCUGUCUGUAGGGGGUUUAUGCUGCCUCAAAAACAAAUGUUCUUGGUGAGAUUUAUUUUUUUUUUUUAUCCACUUCUGAGGCUUUCUUUGAGCCUGUUAUUUAAACCUUCCCACCUUUUAUUACACCGAUGAAAAAGCCGCAUGGGGCUGCAAGAGCCCUUGGCUCGGAGGUGAUGCUCGGAGCAUCAGAGCUGGGUCUCCUGGCCACAUGUGAACUGCUGCUCCGGGUUCCUCCGGCCUCCCCAACAGACCCAGGUGCCUUCCUUCUGCAGCAUCAAGUGGCUUCAGGGUGCCCGUUGCUGUCCCCAUGGGGAGCAGAGGCUGGGUGGCACCGCGUGGCUGUGCCGUUGUCCUGGCCCGCAGUGGGGGUUUGCUGUGGCAGAUGCUCCCAGCCUGGGAGCGUGUGUUGGCCUUCGUGUCAACAGAGGAUUUUUUACUGUGUUCUGCUCUUGUGCUGAUCCUGAUGAAAUACUAAUAUGGUUGGACCAGCUGCUCUGAGCAAGUUUAUUGGCAAAACUGUUGAUGGGCAAAGUGUUUCACGCUUCUGGUGCCAGCAGAAUCACGCUGGGGCCAUAAGAACGAUGGGGAAAGCGAUUAGCACUGAAACAGAGAUAAGGCUCGCCAGCCAGGGCUGACAAUCCAGUGCAAAAUAAAACCCUUAUAAAAUAGCUCCCGUCUACCA